RNAcentral lists this ribosomal RNA (468 nucleotides) under uncultured bacterium. Its description in RNAcentral is "partial 16S ribosomal RNA". It matches the Rfam family "Bacterial small subunit ribosomal RNA", at positions 28 to 507 of the family's 1533-position model. The record is from RNAcentral.
GACGAACGCUGGCGGCGUGCUUAACACAUGUAAGUCGAACGGAAAGGCCCUGCUUUUGUGGGGUGCUCGAGUGGCGAACGGGUGAGUAACACGUGAGUAACCUGCCCUUGACUUUGGGAUAACUUCAGGAAACUGGGGCUAAUACCGGAUAGGAGCUCCUGCUGCAUGGUGGGGGUUGGAAAGUUUCGGCGGUUGGGGAUGGACUCGCGGCUUAUCAGCUUGUUGGUGGGGUAGUGGCCUACCAAGGCUUUGACGGGUAGCCGGCCUGAGAGGGUGACCGGCCACAUUGGGACUGAGAUACGGCCCAGACUCCUACGGGAGGCAGCAGUGGGGAAUAUUGCACAAUGGGCGGAAGCCUGAUGCAGCAACGCCGCGUGCGGGAUGACGGCCUUCGGGUUGUAAACCGCUUUCGCCUGUGACGAAGCGUGAGUGACGGUAAUGGGUAAAGAAGCACCGGCUAACUACGUG